CCUGACGGUGCAACGCCGCGUGAGUGAGGAAGGUUUUCGGAUYGUAAAGCUCUGUUGYGGAGGAAGAACGUCCCUUUGAGGAAAUGCAGAGGGAGUGACGGUACUUCACCAGAAAGCCCCGGCUAAYUACGUGCCAGCAGCCGCGGUAAUACGUAGGGGGCAAGCGUUGUCCGGAAUGAUUGGGCGUAAAGGGCGCGCAGGCGGUUUCGUGUGUCUGAUGUGAAAGSCUCCGGCUCAMCCGGARAAGGUCAUCGGAAACUGCGGGACUUGAGUCCAGGARAGGGGAGUGGAAUUCCACGKGUAGCGGUGAAAUGCGUAGAGAUGUGGAGGAACACCAGUGGSGAAGGCGSCUCUCUGGCCUGAGACUGACGYUGAGGCGCGAAAGCGUGGGGAGCGAMCAGGAUUAGAUACCCUGGUAGUCCACSCCGUAAACGAUGAGUGCUAGGUGUUAGGGGGGCUACCCCUUAGUGCUGAAGUGAACACAAUAAGCACUCCGCCUGG
RNAcentral lists this ribosomal RNA (501 nucleotides) under uncultured Caryophanales bacterium. Its description in RNAcentral is "uncultured Bacillales bacterium partial 16S ribosomal RNA". It matches the Rfam family "Bacterial small subunit ribosomal RNA", at positions 382 to 876 of the family's 1533-position model. The record is from RNAcentral. Lineage: Bacteria; Bacillati; Bacillota; Bacilli; Caryophanales.